CCUACGGGUGGCAGCAGUGAGGAAUAUUGGUCAAUGGCCGGAAGGCUGAACCAGCCAAGCCGCGUGAAGGACGAAGGUGCCAAGCAUUUUAAACUUCUUUUGUCAAGGGACAAAAUCAUGCUCGAGAGCCUGACCGACGGUACUUUAAGAAAAAGCAUCGGCUAACUCCGUGCCAGCAGCCGCGGUAAUACGGAGGAUGCGAGCGUUAUCCGGAUUUAUUGGGUUUAAAGGGUGCGUAGGGGGACUGUUAAGUCAGCGGUAAAAGACCGGGGCUAAACCCGGGCGAGCCGUUGAAACUGGCUGGCUUGAGAAGUGGAGAGGUAUGCGGAAUGCGGAGUGUAGCGGUGAAAUGCGUAGAUAUUACGCAGAACUCCGAUUGCGAAGGCAGCAUACCGGAGGGGAUCUGACGUUGAGGCACGAAAGCGUGGGUAGCGAACAGGAUUAGAUACCCUUGUAGUC
RNAcentral lists this ribosomal RNA (459 nucleotides) under uncultured bacterium. Its description in RNAcentral is "partial 16S ribosomal RNA". It matches the Rfam family "Bacterial small subunit ribosomal RNA", at positions 338 to 795 of the family's 1533-position model. The record is from RNAcentral.